UUAUAGCCCUGAUCGGAGCGGCAUCCCGGUUUUAGCACUGGUAUUUAUUGUUUUCUUGUGUGCUAGCUUGUUUCACAGGUUUCACCGGGAUAAAGCGAAGAGCAGGAGUAACG
RNAcentral lists this small RNA (113 nucleotides) under Pedobacter sp. AK013. RNAcentral describes it as "Flavo-1 RNA". It matches the Rfam family "Flavo-1 RNA". Lineage: Bacteria; Pseudomonadati; Bacteroidota; Sphingobacteriia; Sphingobacteriales; Sphingobacteriaceae. The record is from RNAcentral.